RNAcentral lists this ribosomal RNA (785 nucleotides) under Enterococcus faecalis. Its description in RNAcentral is "bacterial SSU rRNA". It matches the Rfam family "Bacterial small subunit ribosomal RNA", at positions 24 to 780 of the family's 1533-position model. The record is from RNAcentral. Lineage: Bacteria; Bacillati; Bacillota; Bacilli; Lactobacillales; Enterococcaceae.
UCAGGACGAACGCUGGCGGCGUGCCUAAUACAUGCAAGUCGAACGCUUCUUUCCUCCCGAGUGCUUGCACUCAAUUGGAAAGAGGAGUGGCGGACGGGUGAGUAACACGUGGGUAACCUACCCAUCAGAGGGGGAUAACACUUGGAAACAGGUGCUAAUACCGCAUAACAGUUUAUGCCGCAUGGCAUAAGAGUGAAAGGCGCUUUCGGGUGUCGCUGAUGGAUGGACCCGCGGUGCAUUAGCUAGUUGGUGAGGUAACGGCUCACCAAGGCCACGAUGCAUAGCCGACCUGAGAGGGUGAUCGGCCACACUGGGACUGAGACACGGCCCAGACUCCUACGGGAGGCAGCAGUAGGGAAUCUUCGGCAAUGGACGAAAGUCUGACCGAGCAACGCCGCGUGAGUGAAGAAGGUUUUCGGAUCGUAAAACUCUGUUGUUAGAGAAGAACAAGGACGUUAGUAACUGAACGUCCCCUGACGGUAUCUAACCAGAAAGCCACGGCUAACUACGUGCCAGCAGCCGCGGUAAUACGUAGGUGGCAAGCGUUGUCCGGAUUUAUUGGGCGUAAAGCGAGCGCAGGCGGUUUCUUAAGUCUGAUGUGAAAGCCCCCGGCUCAACCGGGGAGGGUCAUUGGAAACUGGGAGACUUGAGUGCAGAAGAGGAGAGUGGAAUUCCAUGUGUAGCGGUGAAAUGCGUAGAUAUAUGGAGGAACACCAGUGGCGAAGGCGGCUCUCUGGUCUGUAACUGACGCUGAGGCUCGAAAGCGUGGGGAGCAAACAGGAUUA